RNAcentral lists this long non-coding RNA (353 nucleotides) under Fukomys damarensis (Damara mole-rat). RNAcentral describes it as "lncRNA (ENSFDAG00000031160.1)". Lineage: Eukaryota; Metazoa; Chordata; Mammalia; Rodentia; Bathyergidae. The record is from RNAcentral.
GUGCUUCUUUCUGGCUCUCACGGAGUUCACCAAGGCAGUCUCUUGCACCCAUUGGCCAGCCACACUGGCAUCUAGAUCUGCUAUGUUAGAUGAUGUCUUCUAACCUUUCUUAAAGAACAUGACCGUUCAGGUCAUUCUACUCUCUUUCAUAGCUUGGAUCUAACAUGCUAUUACCAUUUCUUUCUGUCUGCUCAGAGCCCUGUCAUCGAAAGUCAAGCUUUGGGACACUCUGUUGCAUGCAAGGAGAGUGGAGCAGCAAAGGGUGGUGCAAGCCCAUGGACACAACUUUGAACUCCUCUCCAACUGCUGCAUAUUCCCCUUGACCUGGACAUGGAGCCUCUGAGGCAAGGCCA